UACGUAGGGGGCAAGCGUUAUCCGGAUUUACUGGGUGUAAAGGGAGCGUAGACGGCCAUGCAAGUCUGAUGUGAAAACCCGGGGCUCAACCCCGGGACGGCAUUGGAAACUGUGAAGCUGGAGUGCGGGAGGGGCAGGCGGAAUUCCUGGUGUAGCGGUGAAAUGCGUAGAUAUCAGGAGGCACACCGGCGGCGAAGGCGGCCUGCUGGACCGUAACUGACGUUGAGGCUCGAAAGCGUGGGGAGCAAACAGG
RNAcentral lists this ribosomal RNA (253 nucleotides) under uncultured Eubacteriales bacterium. RNAcentral's name for it is "uncultured Clostridiales bacterium partial 16S ribosomal RNA". It matches the Rfam family "Bacterial small subunit ribosomal RNA", at positions 524 to 776 of the family's 1533-position model. The record is from RNAcentral. Lineage: Bacteria; Bacillati; Bacillota; Clostridia; Eubacteriales.